This 492-nucleotide ribosomal RNA is filed under the name uncultured bacterium. Its description in RNAcentral is "partial 16S ribosomal RNA". It matches the Rfam family "Bacterial small subunit ribosomal RNA", at positions 29 to 507 of the family's 1533-position model. The record is from RNAcentral.
AGUGAACGCUGGCGGUAGGCCUAACACAUGCAAGUCGAACGGCAGCACAGUAAGAGCUUGCUCUUACGGGUGGCGAGUGGCGGGCGGGUGAGGAAUACAUCGGAGUCUACUUUUUCGUGGGGGAUAACGUAGGGAAACUUACGCUAAUACCGCAUACGACCUACGGGUGAAAGCAGGGGAUCUUCGGACCUUGCGCGAUUGAAUGAGCCGAUGUCGGAUUAGCUAGUUGGCGGGGUAAAGGCCCACCAAGGCGACGAUCCGUAGCUGGUCUGAGAGGAUGAUCAGCCACACUGGAACUGAGACGCGGUCCAGACUCCUACGGGAGGCAGCAGUGGGGAAUAUUGGACAAUGGGCGCAAGCCUGAUCCAGCCAUACCGCGUGGGUGAAGAAGGCCUUCGGGUUGUAAAGCCCUUUUGUUGGGAAAGAAAAGCAGCAGGUUAAUACCCCGCUGUUCUGACGGUACCCAAAGAAUAAGCACCGGCUAACUUCGUG